This is a long non-coding RNA of Eurytemora carolleeae, 383 nucleotides long. RefSeq lists it as uncharacterized. The transcript is spliced from 3 exons. NCBI's taxonomy places the organism in Eukaryota, Metazoa, Arthropoda, Copepoda, Calanoida, Temoridae. The record is from RefSeq and is a predicted model, not a curated record.
AAUUAAUUUGCUUCUGUUUAGGUAUCGUUUGUCGUUAAAGCUGUAUCAGCUUUGACCGCUGGGUUUCGAUUGGUCCAGCUCGCCAGCUGCGGUCAUGACCGGCUUCCUAGCUGUCUCAGAACGGUCAGGCCAGGGCUUCAUGAGGAUAUCCUGAAGAACCUGCACAAGCUGUCCUUCACGAGCAUGUCGGGUGGAGGGGAGAUGGAGGGGACCAGGCAGCACUUCACCAAGUCUGGGAGGUUGGUCGCCAACAAGCAGAUCCUUUACAUCAUCAACUAUCAGGAGGGGAUCAUACCGGUCGGAUGGUACUCUGAAGAUGAUGGCUUGAACGUGAAAGAAAAUAUUUUUGAUAAAAGCGACGAUUCAACGGAUUCAACAGAUUC